CAACAUAACAGAAAUCAAAAAGUACAAUAUACGAAUAGAAGGAAAACAACAAGUACAUUAAUAGGAAUGAAUCACAACAACACCUAUUUCUUUCUUUUUUUCAACUUUUUUUUCUACUUCACACUUU
Molecule: non-coding RNA, 127 nt
Filed under: Fragilariopsis kerguelensis
Lineage: Eukaryota; Bacillariophyta; Bacillariophyceae; Bacillariales; Bacillariaceae
Source: RNAcentral